RNAcentral lists this ribosomal RNA (518 nucleotides) under uncultured bacterium. RNAcentral describes it as "bacterial SSU rRNA". It matches the Rfam family "Bacterial small subunit ribosomal RNA", at positions 8 to 527 of the family's 1533-position model. The record is from RNAcentral.
CAGAGUUUGAUCAUGGCUCAGGACGAACGCUGGCGGCGUGCUUAACACAUGCAAGUCGAGCGAGGCCCCUCCUUCGGGAGGGUGCCCUAGCGGCGAACGGGUGAGUAACACGUGGGCAACCUGCCCCUAGCACUGGGAUAACCCCGGGAAACCGGGGCUAAUACCGGAUACGACCUCCGUAGGCAUCUUUGGAGGUGGAAAAGGUUACUGGCUAGGGAUGGGCCCGCGGCCUAUCAGCUUGUUGGUGGGGUAACGGCCUACCAAGGCAACGACGGGUAGCUGGUCUGAGAGGAUGUCCAGCCACACUGGGACUGAGACACGGCCCAGACUCCUACGGGAGGCAGCAGUUAGGAAUCUUGCGCAAUGGCCGAAAGGCUGACGCAGCGACGCCGCGUGUGGGAGGAAGCUCUUCGGGGUGUAAACCACUGUUGCCCGGGACGAACAUCGGUUUUCGAGCCGACUGACGGUACCGGGUGAGGAAGCACCGGCUAACUCUGUGCCAGCAGCCGCGGUAAUCA